Molecule: ribosomal RNA, 443 nt
Filed under: uncultured bacterium
Lineage: Bacteria
Description: partial 16S ribosomal RNA
Rfam family: Bacterial small subunit ribosomal RNA
Source: RNAcentral
CCUACGGGCGGCAGCAGUGGGGGAUAUUGGACAAUGGGGGGAACCCUGAUCCAGCGACGCCGCGUGAGUGAAGAAGUAUUUCGGUAUGUAAAGCUCUGUCAGCAGGGAAGAAAGAAAUGACGGUACCUGACCAAGAAGCCCCGGCUAACUACGUGCCAGCAGCCGCGUUAAUACGUAGGGGGCAAGCGUUAUCCGGAAUUACUGGGUGUAAAGGGAGCGUAGACGGUGCAGCAAGUCUGAUGUGAAAGGUCGGGGCCCAACCCCGGGACUGCAUUGGAAACUGUUGAACUGGAGUACAGGAGAGGUAAGCGGAAUUCCUAGUGUAGCGGUGAAAUGCGUAGAUAUUAGGAGGAACACCAGUGGCGAAGGCGGCUUACUGGACUGUAACUGACGUUGAGGCUCGAAAGCGUGGGGAGCAAACAGGAUUAGAUACCCCAGUAGUC